This 406-nucleotide ribosomal RNA is filed under the name uncultured bacterium. Its description in RNAcentral is "partial 16S ribosomal RNA". It matches the Rfam family "Bacterial small subunit ribosomal RNA", at positions 30 to 526 of the family's 1533-position model. The record is from RNAcentral.
AUUGAACGCUGGCGGCAGGCCUAACACAUGCAAGUCGAACGAGUGGCGGACGGGUGAGUAAUGUCUGGGAAACUGCCUGAUGGAGGGGGAUAACUACUGGAAACGGUAGCUAAUACCGCAUACCAUCGGAUGUGCCCAGAUGGGAUUAGCUAGUAGGUGGGGUAAAGGCUCACCUAGGCUACGAUCCCUAGCUGGUCUGAGAGGAUGACCAGCAACACGUGAGCGGAGACACGGUCCAGACUCCUACGGGAGGCACGAGUGGGGAAUAUUGCACAAUGGGCGCAAGCCUGAUGCAGCCAUUCCGCGUGUAGGAAGAAGGGCUUCGGGUUGUAAAGUACUUUCAGCGGUGAGGCGUUACCCGCAGAAGAAGCACCGGCUAACUCCGUGCCAGCCGCCGCGGUAAUAC